GUCCGUGUGACACCUCCAGGUGACAUCGGCGUCCCCGUGCCACACCCGGGUGACAUCGGUGUCACUGUCCGGUGACAUCCGGGUGACAUCCGGGUGACAUCUGUGCCAGUGUCCGGGUGACAUCGGUGUCACUGUGCCAGCUCCGUGUCACACCUCCAUGUGACACCCAGGUGACAUCGGUGUCCCUGUCCCAGCUCUGGGUGACACCUCCAGGUGACAGCCGUGUCACUGUGCCAUCUCCAUGUCCUCGUGUCACACGCGUGUCACCGUGCCAGCUCCGUGUCACACCUCCA
Molecule: long non-coding RNA, 293 nt
Filed under: Lonchura striata (white-rumped munia)
Lineage: Eukaryota; Metazoa; Chordata; Aves; Passeriformes; Estrildidae
Description: domestica (Bengalese finch) lncRNA (ENSLSDG00000003473.1)
Source: RNAcentral